AUUGAUACAACAAUGGCAGCAUUGUAGCCGAUGAGGUUUAACUGAGGCACGAUUAUUGCUUAUUGAAAACUUUUCCCAAUACCCUGCAAUGGCGGUUUGAAAUAUAGCCGGCAAUGGUGAUUUUUCAUAAGUCUCCAUGAAGA
Molecule: small nuclear RNA, 143 nt
Organism: Carcharodon carcharias (great white shark)
Lineage: Eukaryota; Metazoa; Chordata; Chondrichthyes; Lamniformes; Lamnidae
Product: U4 spliceosomal RNA
Exons: 1
Source: RefSeq, a predicted model, not a curated record